RNAcentral lists this ribosomal RNA (253 nucleotides) under uncultured bacterium. RNAcentral describes it as "partial 16S ribosomal RNA". It matches the Rfam family "Bacterial small subunit ribosomal RNA", at positions 524 to 776 of the family's 1533-position model. The record is from RNAcentral.
UACGUAGGGUGCGAGCGUUGUCCGGAAUUAUUGGGCGUAAAGAGCUCGUAGGCGGUUUGUCACGUCUGCUGUGAAAUCCCGAGGCUCAACCUCGGGCCUGCAGUGGGUACGGGCAGACUGGAGUGCGGUAGGGGAGAAUGGAAUUCCUGGUGUAGCGGUGGAAUGCGCAGAUAUCAGGAGGAACACCCGUGGCGAAAGCGGCUCUCUGGGACGGUACUGACGCUGAGACGCGAAAGCGUGGGGAGCAAACAGG